UCGAGAAUCAUUCACAAUGGGGGAAACCCUGAUGGUGCGACGCCGCGUGGGGGAAUGAAGGUCUUCGGAUUGUAAACCCCUGUCAUGUGGGAGCAAAUUAAAAAGAUAGUACCACAAGAGGAAGAGACGGCUAACUCUGUGCCAGCAGCCGCGGUAAUACAGAGGUCUCAAGCGUUGUUCGGAAUCACUGGGCGUAAAGCGUGCGUAGGCGGUUUCGUAAGUCGUGUGUGAAAGGCGGGGGCUCAACCCCCGGACUGCACAUGAUACUGCGAGACUAGAGUAAUGGAGGGGGAACCGGAAUUCUCGGUGUAGCAGUGAAAUGCGUAGAGAUCGAGAGGAACACUCGGGGCGAAGGCGGGUUCCGGGACAGUAACGGACGCUGAGGCAAGAAGGCAAGGGGAGCGAAAGGG
Molecule: ribosomal RNA, 410 nt
Filed under: Acidobacteriota bacterium
Lineage: Bacteria; Pseudomonadati; Acidobacteriota
Description: Acidobacteria bacterium partial 16S ribosomal RNA
Rfam family: Bacterial small subunit ribosomal RNA
Source: RNAcentral